Molecule: ribosomal RNA, 253 nt
Filed under: uncultured bacterium
Lineage: Bacteria
Description: partial 16S ribosomal RNA
Rfam family: Bacterial small subunit ribosomal RNA
Source: RNAcentral
UACGUAGGGUGCAAGCGUUGUCCGGAAUUAUUGGGCGUAAAGAGCUCGUAGGCGGUUCGUCGCGUCGGCUGUGAAAUCCCGAGGCUCAACUCCGGGCCUGCAGUCGAUACGGGCAAACUGGAGUGUUGCAGGGGAGACUGGAAUUCCUGGUGUAGCGGUGAAAUGCGCAGAUAUCAGGAGGAACACCGGUGGCGAAGGCGGGUCUCUGGGCAACAACUGACGCUGAGGAGCGAAAGCGUGGGGAGCGAACAGG